AUACGUAGGGUGCGAGCGUUAAUCGGAAUUACUGGGCGUAAAGCGUGCGCAGGCGGUUUUGUAAGACAGUGGUGAAAUCCCCGGGCUCAACCUGGGAACUGCCAUUGUGACUGCAAGGCUGGAGUGCGGCAGAGGGGGAUGGAAUUCCGCGUGUAGCAGUGAAAUGCGUAGAUAUGCGGAGGAACACCGAUGGCGAAGGCAAUCCCCUGGGCCUGCACUGACGCUCAUGCACGAAAGCGUGGGGAGCAAACAGGAUUAGAUACCCUGGUAGUCCACGCCCUAAACGAUGUCAACUGGUUGUUGGGAAUUUAUUUUCUCAGUAACGAAGCUAACGCGUGAAGUUGACCGCCUGGGGAGUACGGCCGCAAGGUUGAAACUUAAAGGAAUUGGCGGGG
Molecule: ribosomal RNA, 395 nt
Filed under: uncultured bacterium
Lineage: Bacteria
Description: partial 16S ribosomal RNA
Rfam family: Bacterial small subunit ribosomal RNA
Source: RNAcentral